This 554-nucleotide ribosomal RNA is filed under the name Hanseniaspora thailandica (nom. inval.). Its description in RNAcentral is "LSU rRNA". It matches the Rfam family "Eukaryotic large subunit ribosomal RNA", at positions 50 to 606 of the family's 3401-position model. Lineage: Eukaryota; Fungi; Ascomycota; Saccharomycetes; Saccharomycodales; Saccharomycodaceae. The record is from RNAcentral.
GCGGAGGAAAAGAAACCAACUGGGAUUACCUUAGUAACGGCGAGUGAAGCGGUAAAAGCUCAAAUUUGAAAUCUGGUACUUUCAGUGCCCGAGUUGUAAUUUGUAGAAUUUGUCUUUGAUUAGGUCCUUGUCUAUGUUCCUUGGAACAGGACGUCAUAGAGGGUGAGAAUCCCGUUUGGCGAGGAUACCUUUUCUCUGUAAGACUUUUUCGAAGAGUCGAGUUGUUUGGGAAUGCAGCUCAAAGUGGGUGGUAAAUUCCAUCUAAAGCUAAAUAUUGGCGAGAGACCGAUAGCGAACAAGUACAGUGAUGGAAAGAUGAAAAGAACUUUGAAAAGAGAGUGAAAAAGUACGUGAAAUUGUUGAAAGGGAAGGGCAUUUGAUCAGACAUGGUGUUUUUUUAAUGUGCAAGUCUCUCGUGGACAUGUGCCUCUGGAAAUUAACACUGGGCCAACAUCAGUUCUGGCGGCAGGAUAAAUCAUUAAGAAUGUAGCUACCUCGGUAGUGUUAUAGCUUUUUGGAAUACUGCCAGCUGGGAUUGAGGACUGCGCUCGGCA